Molecule: unclassified non-coding RNA, 348 nt
Filed under: soil metagenome
Description: partial contains 5.8S ribosomal RNA, internal transcribed spacer 2, and large subunit ribosomal RNA
Rfam family: 5.8S ribosomal RNA (bases 1-120)
Source: RNAcentral
GAUGAAGAACGUAGCGAAAUGCGAUAAGUAAUGUGAAUUGCAGAAUUCAGUGAAUCAUCGAAUCUUUGAACGCACAUUGCGCCCGCCAGUAUUCUGGCGGGCAUGCCUGUCUGAGCGUCAUUUCAACCCUCAUGCCCCUAGGGCGUGGUGUUGGGGAUCGGCCAAAGCCCGCGAGGGACGGCCGGCCCCUAAAUCUAGUGGCGGACCCGUCGUGGCCUCCUCUGCGAAGUAGUGAUAUUCCGCAUCGGAGAGCGACGAGCCCCUGCCGUUAAACCCCCAACUUUCCAAGGUUGACCUCAGAUCAGGUAGAAAUACCCGCUGAACUUAAGCAUAUCAAUAAGCGGAGGA